Oncorhynchus keta (chum salmon) is the source of this 5178-nucleotide long non-coding RNA. RefSeq lists it as uncharacterized. The record is from RefSeq and is a predicted model, not a curated record. NCBI's taxonomy places the organism in Eukaryota, Metazoa, Chordata, Actinopteri, Salmoniformes, Salmonidae. The transcript has 9 exons.
GGUCGCCCUGAGAGUUUGAACCGUAGUCAGUUACAUUCUUCAUCACCCAGCCAACUGACAAUUAAUGUGCAUUCAGUAAUUAUAGUUAAUGAUCACAUGAUUAAUGGUACCUAAGAGUCUCGACCUGUCAUUGAUUGAUAUCUAUUUCAUUGUCAUGUCUUGUUAUUCCUGUGUUUUAAUAACUCUUCCUGUCCCCAGUUGUCAACCAUGAUGUUAGUCCUGUCCCCAGUUGUCAACCAUGAUGUUAGUCCUGUCCCCAGUUGUCAACCAUGAUGUUAGUCCUGUCCCCAGUUGUCAACCAUGAUGUUAGUCCUGUCCCCAGUUGUCAACCAUGAUGUUAGUCCUGUCCCCAGUUGUCAACCAUGUUGUUAGUCCUGUCCCCAGUUGUCAACCAUGAUGUUAGUCCUGUGUUUUAUUGACUGUCUUCCUGUCCCCAGUUCUCAACCAUGAUGUUAGUCCUGUCCCCAGUUGUCAACCAUGAUGUUAGUCCUGUCCCCAGUUGUCAACCAUGAUGUUAGUCCUGUCCCCAGUUGUCAAGCAUGAUGUUAGUCCUGUCCCCAGUUGUCAACCACGAUGUUAGUCCUGUCCCCAGUUGUCAACCAUGAUGUUAGUCCUGUCCCCAGUUGUCAACCAUGAUGUUAGUCCUGUCCCCAGUUGUCAACCAUGAUGUUAGUCCUGUCCCCAGUUGUCAACCAUGAUGUUAGUCCUGUCCCCAGUUGUCAACCAUGAUGUUAGUCCUGUCCCCAGUUGUCAACCAUGAUGUUAGUCCUGUCCCCAGUUGUCAACCAUGAUGUUAGUCCUGUCCCCAGUUGUCAACCAUGAUGUUAGUCCUGUCCCCAGUUGUCAACCAUGAUGUUAGUCCUGUCCCCAGUUGUCAACCAUGAUGUUAGUCCUGUCCCCAGUUGUCAACCAUGAUGUUAGUCCUGUCCCCAGUUGUCAACCAUGAUGUUAGUCCUGUCCCCAGUUGUCAACCAUGAUGUUAGUCCUGUCCCCAGUUGUCAACCAUGAUGUUAGUCCUGUCCCCAGUUGUCAACCAUGAUGUUAGUCCUGUCCCCAGUUGUCAACCAUGAUGUUAGUCCUGUCCCCAGUUGUCAACCACGAUGUUAGUCCUGUCCCCAGUUGUCAACCACGAUGUUAGUCCUGUCCCCAGUUGUCAACCACGAUGUUAGUCCUGUCCCCAGUUGUCAACCACGAUGUUAGUCCUGUCCCCAGUUGUCAACCACGAUGUUAGUCCUGUCCCCAGUUGUCAACCACGAUGUUAGUCCUGUCCCCAGUUGUCAACCACGAUGUUAGUCCUGUCCCCAGUUGUCAACCACGAUGUUAGUCCUGUCCCCAGUUGUCAACCACGAUGUUAGUCCUGUCCCCAGUUGUCAACCACGAUGUUAGUCCUGUCCCCAGUUGUCAACCACGAUGUUAGUCCUGUCCCCAGUUGUCAACCACGAUGUUAGUCCUGUCCCCAGUUGUCAACCACGAUGUUAGUCCUGUCCCCAGGUCUCAACCAUGAUGUUAGUCCUGUGUUUUAUUGACUGUCUUCCUGUCCCCAGGUCUCAACCAUGAUGUUAGUCCUGUCCCCAGUUGUCAACCAUGAUGUUAGUCCUGUGUUUUACUGACUGUCUUCCUGUCCCCGGGUCUCAACCAUGAUGUUAGUCCUGUCCCCAGUUGUCAACCAUGAUGUUAGUCCUGUCCCCAGGUCUCAACCAUGAUGUUAGUCCUGUGUUUUAUUGACUGUCUUCCUGUCCCCAGGUCUCAACCAUGAUGUUAGUCCUGUCCCCAGGUCUCAACCAUGAUGUUAGUCCUGUGUUUUAUUGACGGUCUUCCUGUCCCCAGGUCUCAACCAUGAUGUUAGUCCUGUGUUUUAUUGACUGUCUUCCUGUCCCCAGGUCUCAACCAUGAUGUUAGUCCUGUGUUUUAUUGACGGUCUUCCUGUCCCCAGGUCUCAACCAUGAUGUUAGUCCUGUGUUUUAUUGACUGUCUUCCUGUCCCCAGGUCUCAACCAUGAUGUUAGUCCUGUGUUUUAUUGACUGUCUUCCUGUCCCCAGGUCUCAACCAUGAUGUUAGUCCUGUGUUUUAUUGACUGUCUUCCUGUCCCCAGGUCUCAACCAUGAUGUUAGUCCUGUGUUUUAUUGACUGUCUUCCUGUCCCCAGGUCUCAACCAUGAUGUUAGUCCUGUGUUUUAUUGACGGUCUUCCUGUCCCCAGGUCUCAACCAUGAUGUUAGUCCUGUGUUUUAUUGACUGUCUUCCUGUCCCCAGGUCUCAACCAUGAUGUUAGUCCUGUGUUUUACUGACGGUCUUCCUGUCCCCAGGUCUCAACCAUGAUGUUAGUCCUGUGUUUUACUGACAGUCUUCCUGUCCCCAGGUCUCAACCAUGAUGUUAGUCCUGUGUUUUACUGACUGUCUUCCUGUCCCCAGGUCUCAACCAUGAUGUUAGUCCUGUGUUUUAUUGACGGUCUUCCUGUCCCCAGGUCUCAACCAUGAUGUUAGUCCUGUGUUUUAUUGACUGUCUUCCUGUCCCCAGGUCUCAACCAUGAUGUUAGUCCUGUGUUUUAUUGACUGUCUUCCUGUCCCCAGGUCUCAACCAUGAUGUUAGUCCUGUGUUUUAUUGACGGUCUUCCUGUCCCCAGGUCUCAACCAUGAUGUUAGUCCUGUGUUUUAUUGACUGUCUUCCUGUCCCCAGGUCUCAACCAUGAUGUUAGUCCUGUGUUUUACUGACGGUCUUCCUGUCCCCAGGUCUCAACCAUGAUGUUAGUCCUGUGUUUUACUGACUGUCUUCCUGUCCCCAGGUCUCAACCAUGAUGUUAGUCCUGUGUUUUAUUGACUGUCUUCCUGUCCCCAGGUCUCAACCAUGAUGUUAGUCCUGUGUUUUAUUGACUGUCUUCCUGUCCCCAGGUCUCAACCAUGAUGUUAGUCCUGUGUUUUACUGACAGUCUUCCUGUCCCCAGGUCUCAACCAUGAUGUUAGUCCUGUGUUUUAUUGACUGUCUUCCUGUCCCCAGGUCUCAACCAUGAUGUUAGUCCUGUGUUUUAUUGACUGUCUUCCUGUCCCCAGGUCUCAACCAUGAUGUUAGUCCUGUGUUUUACUGACUGUCUUCCUGUCCCCAGGUCUCAACCAUGAUGUUAGUCCUGUGUUUUACUGACUGUCUUCCUGUCCCCAGGUCUCAACCAUGAUGUUAGUCCUGUGUUUUACUGACGGUCUUCCUGUCCCCAGGUCUCAACCAUGAUGUUAGUCCUGUGUUUUAUUGACUGUCUUCCUGUCCCCAGGUCUCAACCAUGAUGUUAGUCCUGUGUUUUAUUGACUGUCUUCCUGUCCCCAGGUCUCAACCAUGAUGUUAGUCCUGUGUUUUAUUGACUGUCUUCCUGUCCCCAGGUCUCAACCAUGAUGUUAGUCCUGUGUUUUAUUGACUGUCUUCCUGUCCCCAGGUCUCAACCAUGAUGUUAGUCCUGUGUUUUAUUGACUGUCUUCCUGUCCCCAGGUCUCAACCAUGAUGUUAGUCCUGUGUUUUAUUGACUGUCUUCCUGUCCCCAGGUCUCAACCAUGAUGUUAGUCCUGUGUUUUAUUGACUGUCUUCCUGUCCCCAGGUCUCAACCAUGAUGUUAGUCCUGUGUUUUAUUGACUGUCUUCCUGUCCCCAGGUCUCAACCAUGAUGUUAGUCCUGUGUUUUAUUGACUGUCUUCCUGUCCCCAGGUCUCAACCAUGAUGUUAGUCCUGUGUUUUAUUGACUGUCUUCCUGUCCCCAGGUCUCAACCAUGAUGUUAGUCCUGUGUUUUAUUGACUGUCUUCCUGUCCCCAGGUCUCAACCAUGAUGUUAGUCCUGUGUUUUACUGACUGUCUUCCUGUCCCCAGGUCUCAACCAUGAUGUUAGUCCUGUGUUUUACUGACUGUCUUCCUGUCCCCAGGUCUCAACCAUGAUGUUAGUCCUGUGUUUUAUUGACUGUCUUCCUGUCCCCAGGUCUCAACCAUGAUGUUAGUCCUGUGUUUUACUGACGGUCUUCCUGUCCCCAGGUCUCAACCAUGAUGUUAGUCCUGUGUUUUACUGACUGUCUUCCUGUCCCCAGGUCUCAACCAUGAUGUUAGUCCUGUGUUUUAUUGACUGUCUUCCUGUCCCCAGGUCUCAACCAUGAUGUUAGUCCUGUGUUUUAUUGACUGUCUUCCUGUCCCCAGGUCUCAACCAUGAUGUUAGUCCUGUGUUUUACUGACAGUCUUCCUGUCCCCAGGUCUCAACCAUGAUGUUAGUCCUGUGUUUUAUUGACUGUCUUCCUGUCCCCAGGUCUCAACCAUGAUGUUAGUCCUGUGUUUUACUGACAGUCUUCCUGUCCCCAGGUCUCAACCAUGAUGUUAGUCCUGUGUUUUACUGACUGUCUUCCUGUCCCCAGGUCUCAACCAUGAUGUUAGUCCUGUGUUUUACUGACUGUCUUCCUGUCCCCAGGUCUCAACCAUGAUGUUAGUCCUGUGUUUUACUGACUGUCUUCCUGUCCCCAGGUCUCAACCAUGAUGUUAGUCCUGUGUUUUACUGACUGUCUUCCUGUCCCCAGGUCUCAACCAUGAUGUUGGUCCUGUGUUUUAUUGACGGUCUUCCUGUCCCCAGGUCUCAACCAUGAUGUUAGUCCUGUCCCCAGGUCUCAACCAUGAUGUUAGUCCUGUGUUUUAUUGACUGUCUUCCUGUCCCCAGGUCUCAACCAUGAUGUUAGUCCUGUCCCCAGGUCUCAACCAUGAUGUUAGUCCUGUCCCCAGGUCUCAACCAUGAUGUUAGUCCUGUGUUUUACUGACAGUCUUCCUGUCCCCAGGUCUCAACCAUGAUGUUAGUCCUGUGUUUUACUGACAGUCUUCCUGUCCCCAGGUCUCAACCAUGAUGUUAGUCCUGUGUUUUAUUGACUGUCUUCCUGUCCCCAGGUCUCAACCAUGAUGUUAGUCCUGUGUUUUACUGACUGUCUUCCUGUCCCCAGGUCUCAACCAUGAUGUUAGUCCUGUGUUUUAUUGACUGUCUUCCUGUCCCCAGGUCUCAACCAUGAUGUUAGUCCUGUGUUUUACUGACUGUCUUCCUGUCCCCAGGUCUCAACCAUGAUGUUAGUCCUGUGUUUUAUUGACUGUCUUCCUGUCCCCAGGUCUCAACCAUGAUGUUAGUCCUGUGUUUUAUUGACUGUCUUCCUGUCCCCAGGUCUCAACCAUGAUGUUAGUCCUGU